Molecule: non-coding RNA, 174 nt
Filed under: Lutispora thermophila
Lineage: Bacteria; Bacillati; Bacillota; Clostridia; Lutisporales; Lutisporaceae
Also listed under: 1 other name
Source: RNAcentral
AAAGAAUAUAAAAGUUCAGGUGCUGCAUAUGCAGUUAAAAGGGAAAUGGGUGAGAAUCCCAUGCGGUCCCGCCACUGUGAGGGGGAGCGGUCUAGAAAUGCCACUGAUUUAAUCGGGAAGGCCUAGGCAGCUGUGAACCAUAGCCAGGAAACCUGCCUGAUCUAUUAUUUAAGC